Molecule: non-coding RNA, 114 nt
Organism: Xyrichtys novacula (pearly razorfish)
Lineage: Eukaryota; Metazoa; Chordata; Actinopteri; Labriformes; Labridae
Source: the annotation of a GenBank genome assembly
GUCAGAUAUGGUGACAUGGUUCCAAAGACCAUCAUGGGGAAGAUCUUCGGCUCGGUGUGUUCUCUGAGCGGCGUGCUCGUCAUCGCUCUACCUGUGCCCGUCAUUGUGUCCAAC